RNAcentral lists this ribosomal RNA (253 nucleotides) under uncultured bacterium. RNAcentral describes it as "partial 16S ribosomal RNA". It matches the Rfam family "Bacterial small subunit ribosomal RNA", at positions 524 to 776 of the family's 1533-position model. The record is from RNAcentral.
UACGUAGGGUGCAAGCGUUGCCCGGAUUUAUUGGGCGUAAAGGGCGCGUAGGCGGCUCGGCACGUCCGUUGUGAAAUCGCCCGGCUCAACUGGGCGGGGUCAGCGGAUACGGCCGAGCUUGAGCAAGCUAGGGGGCAAUGGAAUUCCCGGUGUAGUGGUGGAAUGCGUAGAUAUCGGGAGGAACACCAGUGGCGAAGGCGGUGGCCUGGGGCUUUGCUGACGCGGAUGCGCGAAAGCGUGGGGAGCGAGCCGG